Eriocheir sinensis (Chinese mitten crab) is the source of this 1294-nucleotide long non-coding RNA. RefSeq lists it as uncharacterized. The transcript has 2 exons. Lineage: Eukaryota; Metazoa; Arthropoda; Malacostraca; Decapoda; Varunidae. The record is from RefSeq and is a predicted model, not a curated record.
GUGAAUUUUGGUAAAGUAUAAAGUGUAUGUGUUGUACUUCAUUAAGUGUGUCGCCGCGCGCUGUAGUGAGCAGGAGUAUGUCACUGUAGAAGGAUUUCGGACACAUAGAUGACACACACACACACACACACACACACACACACACACACACAGAGGGAUGGAUUGAAUACCAGACUUGUGAAGACUCCUCAGUGUGUGUGUGUGUGUGUGUGUGUGUGUGUGUGUGUGUGUGUGUGUGUGUGUGUGUGUGUGUGUGUGUGUGUUUUAAAGUCAAGCCUCACUCUGUAACUUGAAGAUCUGUAAUACACGAUCGAUACACGUUCGCUAAUGACCCAAGACUUGUAGGAAACGGCAUUUGGAGUACUGCCCAUCACGAGUUUUGACCUUGUUCUUCAGCUUACUCCCAGGUCACCAACUCUCUAACACUGGGUUCCAAGACCAAUGACAACACUUGGGUUUGCAUCGGUAACUAUUAGAUAUAAAGGUCAAAGAUGGGGUCAAUUGGGUUCUAAUGAGUGUUUCUACAGGUUCAUGGUACAGCGGAAGGGUCACACUAUCACCAGGGUCAUAGAACUGCUCCUGGAAAUGCCCACAACUCCCACGAAAGACUAGUAAAUUACGUGUUCUUGGUUCUAAUGAGUGUUUCUACAGGUUCAUGGUACAGAAGAAGGCUCAGUCUACCACCAGGGUCAUAGAACUGCUCCUGGAAAUGCCCACAACUCCCACGAAAGACUAGUAAAUUACGUGUUCUUGGUUCUAAUGAGUUCUUUAAUUAGGUUCAUGGUACAGAAGAAGGCUCAGUCUACCACCAGGGUCAUAGAACUGCUCCUGGAAAUGCCCACAACUCCCACGAAAGACUAGUAAAUUACGUGUUCUUGGGCUCAGAAAUGUUUAAAAAUAUGGCUCUUUGUCUCAUCAGCUCUCCUCCUCAUACUGAUAGUCUUCUACCUCUUAAAUUCCGCCGCAAUGUUGUCUCUCUUUCUAUCUUCAAUCGCUAUUUCCACGCUGACUGCUCUUCUGAACUUGCUAACUGCCUCCCCCCUGUCUUUCUACUCAUGCUCAUCCCUAUACUGUCCAAACCCCUUAUGCAAGAGUCAACCAGCAUCUUCACUCUUUCAUCCCUAUACUGUCCAAACCCCUUAUGCAAGAGUCAACCAGCAUCUUCACUCUUUCAUCCCUAUACUGUCCAAACCCCUUAUGCAAGAGUCAACCAGCAUCUUCACUCUUUCAUCCCUAUACUGUCCAAACCCCUUAUGCAAGAGUUAACCAGCAUCUUCACUCUUUCAUCCCUAUA